This 2454-nucleotide long non-coding RNA is filed under the name Gossypium barbadense (sea-island cotton). Its description in RNAcentral is "long non-coding RNA (GBAR_LNC019400)". The record is from RNAcentral. Lineage: Eukaryota; Viridiplantae; Streptophyta; Magnoliopsida; Malvales; Malvaceae.
AGCACACCAAUUUUGACCAAAGUCUUUUGCAUUUUGACCAGGUCCAAAAUAAUUUUGACCUGUAGUACAAUUAACUUGAUUAGACCCAUAAAGCUGUUGAGCAAAGUUAGAAAGCUUAGGCCGAGUAUUUGGGAGAGACGACCAGCCACCAUCGCCGGAGUUAAAAUUCAUCGUCUGGUCUUGCGGCGGAAGGGACACCGGAGACGACUCAUCACGAUGAUACCUGUAAUAACAUUUUUGAGCCACGUGCCCAAACCGAGAGUAGAUCUGACACUGAAGUCGCGGCCGAAACGUCCGUCCACGACCGCGCGCGCCCGAUCGUCCUCCUCGCGACGAACCAUCCAUAGGAACAUCCUCCACCAGAUUAGCAGCAUACACCACCUCUUGACUGGUCUGAGCAUGCCGUGUUUCAUAUUCAAGUAACGCUUCAACCAAUAGUGGAAACGGCAACGGAGUCGGAGACAACGAAGCCGACGAGACAACGCCUUCAAACUCAGACGGAAGCCCCGCAAGAAGCACCGCCGUCCUUUCCGCCAUUGAAAUGGAAGAUCCAGAGGAUUCCAACAUAGCACACACACGUUUUAACUUUGCAACAUAAUCUCAAAUUGACAUGCUUCCUUUCUUGAGUGAGUGAAGCUCAUGACGUAAACGCGACUGCCGUUGAUCGGAAUCGGCCGCAAACAUUUCCAACGCCAUGUUCCACACAUCCUUCGCCGACUGAACAUCCAUAAAGGAUGAAAGAAUGGAGGAACUAAUAGUGGAAAGAAGCCAGGACGUGAGAAGAUUGUCCUGCUGUUGAUACACGGACGCCACGGGAUUUACCACAAGUGCACCAUCCGGCGCUUCCACAAACCUCGGUGGCACAGCAAUAGAACCAUCAAGAAAACCAAACAGAUUAUAGCCAUUAACAAUGAAUCUCACCUGUUGCUUCCAUUGAAGAAACGAACCUUCAUCGAGUUUCACAACAUCAUGUCGAGGAAGCGAAUUUACCACACGUUCAGGAGUGAACACAGAUCCAGGAACGUCAACAGAGUCAGACGCAGCAGAGUGUGUCGUUGCCAUGAUCAGUAACACCAAGCGACUGAUACCAUGAAGAAAACUAGGUAAUCUUUGAGAAUUUCUUUCCAAUCUUGGAGAACUUUGUUUACUAAAUGAAUUUAGACUAUUUACUUGCUCAAUACAAUGCCAGACCAUUGUUUUUAUACUUACAGAUAACAACUUGCUUCUCUUAACAAAGUAACUAACCUUUCCAACCUUCACUAACUAAUCUGCUAACUGUUCAGUUUUAUUAUUCUUAACAAGUUGUAAAAGAUUAUAAAAAAAUGAUUCAAGGGGAAUCAAUAAUAUUAACAAUGUUUCCAGUAGGGUGGACUCCAGCAACUUCCUCGAUGAGUAAAGUAGUGCCAUCAUCAAUAGCUUGGGGAGUAGAAGGCAGAUGAUAAAGUACACUAGAGUUUGAUAGCUGAGGGAUUAUACAUGUCAACUUCGGGCAAAACUCUCUAAUGGCGGUAAGAUUAAACAUCGCUUACAUCAAAAGGAUCAUGGUUCAAUUGAAGAUGCAACGUUGUCAAGUCUUGGAUGAAAUAAACUUGCUUCCCUUUAUCAAUCUCCCCCUUUAAAAUAACAGCUCAACAUUAGUAUCUUGCUUAGCAAAUUGCUCCUUAAGGGAUUCCUUCCCCUUUGGCCAUUCACUUUUCAAGAUUCGCGGCUUGCUGAAGAUAACAAUCGUUCAACUCUAGCAUCCUUUUCGCAUGAUCUUCCUUGACAUCCAAGCUCCAUUGAAGGUGUUUAGCCUCCUCCACUUGCAGCUUUUUCCUUCAACAAAGCCUCUUUCACUGAACAUUUGUUGUGAAUGAGUGGUCAAAAUUCUCCAAUAGCUUAUUCAUCUCCAGGUUGGCCUUAACCUGUAUAUCAUAUGAUCACCUUAACUUAUCAAAAAAAAGCCAUCCAAGCCUCACAAUCCUUCUCAACUAGUCUUUCUCCCAAGUCAACCUAUGGAUAUCUGAUGACUUCCUAGUGUACUCUUAAAAUAUAUCAACUUUAAACAUAGUUCAUUCCCAGGGUCGUAACCAUGAAAAUUGAGUUUAAUUCACAACUUUGUUUAACCAACUCUAGAAGUACCAAUUAAGGAUGGUAGUCAAUACUAGCAUUAAGAAAGGAUAUGAAGGAAUAAAAACUAACAAACUAAAUUAAAAUAGUAAUCUCAAAGUUAACUUCUAAUUAGAUAUAGUUAAUGGAGUGUAACGAAUGAAUUAAUGAUAUAACACUUGGCCUUUAGGAUAAAAGAUCCACACCCCUUGUUGAUUUCUUGACAACUAAGUUUCUUAUUUACUAAUUAAUAAAUUUAUUAUUAUUGUGUUUUAACAAAAUUCUACAAAUAUGCAAAAUACAUUAUUAUUCCAAUCUUGAUGAUUUAGUUAAUUAUUUAUUUGGUUUAUUAUGUACUACACAUAG